RNAcentral lists this ribosomal RNA (452 nucleotides) under uncultured bacterium. RNAcentral's name for it is "bacterial SSU rRNA". It matches the Rfam family "Bacterial small subunit ribosomal RNA", at positions 340 to 783 of the family's 1533-position model. The record is from RNAcentral.
UACGGAAGGCAGCAGUGGGGAAUAUUGCACAAUGGGCGCAAGCCUGAUGCAGCCAUGCCGCGUGUAUGAAAAAGGCCUUCGGGUUGUAAAGUACUUUCAGUCGUGAGGAAGGUGUUAAGGUUAAUAACCUUAGCAAUUGACGUUAGCGACAGAAGAAGCACCGGCUAACUCCGUGCCAGCAGCCGCGGUAAUACGGAGGGUGCGAGCGUUAAUCGGAAUUACUGGGCGUAAAGGGCACGCAGGCGGUUAAUUAAGUUGGAUGUGAAAUCCCCGGGCUUAACCUGGGAAUGGCAUUCAAGACUGGUUAGCUAGAGUCUUGUAGAGGGGGUAGAAUUCCAUGUGUAGCGGUGAAAUGCGUAGAGAUGUGGAGGAAUACCGGUGGCGAAGGCGGCCCCUGGGACAAAGACUGACGCUCAUGUGCGAAAGCGUGGGGAGCAAACGAGGGAUUAGAU